UUUGAAGGCAAUGUGAAAUCUCUGCUGUGGUUAUGAACUGGCAAUUUCUGUCUCACUAUUAUUUUAUUUUAAUGAUGCUGAAACAAUGAGUUGAAUUAUGAUGGUAAUGAUAGAAAUUGGUCAUUUGCUUAAUCAAAUUAAUGGGUUACGUGUGUGAUGUCUACGUCCUUAUGUGUGUUGCAGCAUGAGAAUGGUUAGGUUAUCUGUAGAAGGAAGAAAUGUAGUAUAUGAGUAUCCACCUUUCAUGCUCAAUCUUCCUAAAGGAAAGGAAUAACUAUCUCACAUCCUAAUUGGUUUGGACAUUGAUAUUCUGCAAUUUCUUUAUUGAUUCAUUCUUUAUUUGGUGCAGAAA
RNAcentral lists this unclassified non-coding RNA (352 nucleotides) under Hevea brasiliensis (rubber tree). The record is from RNAcentral. Lineage: Eukaryota; Viridiplantae; Streptophyta; Magnoliopsida; Malpighiales; Euphorbiaceae.